Long non-coding RNA from Helianthus annuus (common sunflower), 695 nucleotides. RefSeq lists it as uncharacterized. The transcript has 4 exons. The record is from RefSeq and is a predicted model, not a curated record. Lineage: Eukaryota; Viridiplantae; Streptophyta; Magnoliopsida; Asterales; Asteraceae.
CAAGCAAGAGCAUGAAUUCUCAAAGAGGCAUGCAGAGGCUUCAAGGAUCAGGGAGAAAUAUCCCGAUAGAGAAUUCCGAUAUUGAAUUCUUUUCAAAUCUCAUUUGUCAAUCUGUGUUCAUCACCAACACUUUUCCGCAAUAACCCAGAUCAUACUUCCACCUGAGGGGAUGGAUUGGGAGAAGGAUAUAGUAUGCUUGAUCAAGCUGGCAACCGGAAGUUGCGUGUAUCAGUUAGUCAAAGCAAGCUCGCUACCAAAGUAGCCAAAAAGCAUUGAUCAUCUGAUAGAUCCACAGGCAGACGCUAAUACACUUGGGAGUGGAACUCAGAGCACAUACUUCUCGGAAACAAGAAAAGGAACAUUUUCAAAGAUCAAGAGAACCCGAGCCCCAUUUCACUAAAGUGAGAUAGACCCAUGUCAAUAAUCUUUGACAACCCAACGUCGGCUAUCGUCGCUUGAAAGUUCAUAUUUAGGACAAUGUUCGUCGGCCGGCAAAAUCUAAACAUCAAAAAGCAACAUGAAAAUUGACUUCAAUUCCAUUAGGUACACUUUUUAGCUGUUGAAAUUUUAAUAAUGUUUUCUACAAAAUAUGUUUACAAAGAGUUUUCUAAUAGUGUUUUCAAGGAGGCGUAAAGCGAAACAACUUUGUUCUAAACAUAGUUGUUAAUGGCGAAUAGCAGGCGGCUAUUUUAUAA